UACGUAGGGGGCUAGCGUUGUCCGGAAUCAUUGGGCGUAAAGCGCGUGUAGGCGGUCCGGUAAGUCCGCUGUGAAAGUCGGGGGCUCAACCCUCGGAUGCCGGUGGAUACUGUCGGGCUUGAGUACGGAAGAGGCGAGUGGAAUUCCUGGUGUAGCGGUGAAAUGCGCAGAUAUCAGGAGGAACACCAGUGGCGAAGGCGGUGCUCUGGGCCGGAACUGACGCUGAGGCGCGACAGCGUGGGGAGCAAACAGG
RNAcentral lists this ribosomal RNA (253 nucleotides) under uncultured bacterium. Its description in RNAcentral is "partial 16S ribosomal RNA". It matches the Rfam family "Bacterial small subunit ribosomal RNA", at positions 524 to 776 of the family's 1533-position model. The record is from RNAcentral.